GCCCAGGCAGGCGUGCCCUCGGCCAGAAGGCCUCGGGCGCAACUUGCGUUCAAAGACUCGAUGGUUCGCGGGAUUMUGCAAUUCACACCAGGUAUCGCAUUUCGSUACGUUCUUCAUCGAUGCGAGAGCCGAGAUAUCCGUUGCCGAGAGUCGUGUGGAUUAUAUAGCAUUGCAACCCAGGGUGCAGCCAGCAAGCCAGCUGCGUCCCCGGGUUAGGCACAGUGUUCCUUGACGCCUUCGGCGCCGUGGGUUCUUUUACCCCGAGCC
Molecule: ribosomal RNA, 267 nt
Filed under: Festuca circummediterranea
Lineage: Eukaryota; Viridiplantae; Streptophyta; Magnoliopsida; Poales; Poaceae
Description: 5.8S ribosomal RNA
Source: RNAcentral